UAAACCAGGAUUAGAUACCCUAUUAUGCCUAGCCCUAAACAUUGAUAAUAACCUACUUAUUUUAUCCGCCCGGGUACUACGAGCGUCAGCUUGAAACCCAAAGGACUUGGCGGUGCUUUAGAUCCACCUAGAGGAGCCUGUUCUAGAACCGAUAAUCCCCGUUAAACCUCACCUUUCCUUGUCAUUUCCGCCUAUAUACCGCCGUCGUCAGCUUACUCUGUGAAGAGCCUGUAGUAAGCACAACUGGUAAAGCCUAAAACGCCAGGUCGCAGGUGUAGCGAAUGGAAAGGGAAGAAAUGGGCUACAUUCAAUAUUUAUAUAUAUGAACGACGAGAUGAUAUUCUAUGAAAGAGAUAUACUGUAAGGCAGGGAUUUAGCAGUAAGUAGUAGAAUUAGAAGCGAUACUUNCUUNAAUCCGAGCCCUAAGCGC
Molecule: ribosomal RNA, 430 nt
Filed under: Hemigymnus melapterus
Lineage: Eukaryota; Metazoa; Chordata; Actinopteri; Labriformes; Labridae
Description: partial 12S ribosomal RNA
Rfam family: Bacterial small subunit ribosomal RNA
Source: RNAcentral